RNAcentral lists this ribosomal RNA (597 nucleotides) under uncultured Acidobacteriota bacterium. RNAcentral describes it as "SSU rRNA". It matches the Rfam family "Bacterial small subunit ribosomal RNA", at positions 242 to 843 of the family's 1533-position model. Lineage: Bacteria; Pseudomonadati; Acidobacteriota. The record is from RNAcentral.
CAGCUAGUUGGUAGGGUAACGGCCUACCAAGGCUUUGAUCGUUAGCUGGUCUGAGAGGAUGGCCAGCCACACUGGAACUGAGACACGGUCCAGACUCCUACGGGAGGCAGCAGUGGGGAAUCUUGCACAAUGGGCGAAAGCCUGAUGCAGCGACGCCGCGUGGGGGAUGAAGCAUUUCGGUGUGUAAACCCCUUUCGACUGGGACGAAUGCCUCGCAAGAGGAGUGACGGUACCAGUAGAAGAAGCCCCGGCUAACUACGUGCCAGCAGCCGCGGUAAGACGUAGGGGGCCAGCGUUGUUCGGAAUUACUGGGUGUAAAGGGUUCGUAGGCGGUGUGGCAAGUUGGGAGUGAAAUCUCUGGGCUCAACCCAGAGGCUGCUUCCAAAACUGCUGUGCUUGAGUGUGGGAGAGGCGCGUGGAAUUGCAGGUGUAGCGGUGAAAUGCGUAGAUAUCUGCAGGAACACCCGUGGCGAAAGCGGCGCGCUGGACCACAACUGACGCUGAGGAACGAAAGCUAGGGGAGCAAACAGGAUUAGAUACCCUGGUAGUCCUAGCCCUAAACGAUCAGGACUUGGGGUGCCGCCCGUUCGGGCGUCG